GAUGAACGCUGGCGGCGUGCCUAAUACAUGCAAGUCGAGCGAACGGACGAGAAGCUUGCUUCUCUGAUGUUAGCGGCGGACGGGUGAGCAACACGUGGAUAACCUACCUAUAAGACUGGCAUAACUUCGGGAAACCGGAGCUAAUACCGGAUAAUAUUUUGAACCGCAUGGUUCAAAAGUGAAAGACGGUCUUGCUGUCACUUAUAGAUGGAUCCGCGCUGCAUUAGCUAGUUGGUAAGGUAACGGCUUACCAAGGCAACGAUGCAUAGCCGACCUGAGAGGGUGAUCGGCCACACUGGAACUGAGACACGGUCCAGACUCCUACGGGAGGCAGCAGUAGGGAAUCUUCCGCAAUGGGCGAAAGCCUGACGGAGCAACGCCGCGUGAGUGAUGAAGGUCUUCGGAUCGUAAAACUCUGUUAUUAGGGAAGAACAUAUGUGUAAGUAACUGUGCACAUCUUGACGGUACCUAAUCAGAAAGCCACGGCUAACUACGUG
Molecule: ribosomal RNA, 497 nt
Filed under: uncultured bacterium
Lineage: Bacteria
Description: partial 16S ribosomal RNA
Rfam family: Bacterial small subunit ribosomal RNA
Source: RNAcentral